Molecule: non-coding RNA, 46 nt
Organism: Mesocricetus auratus (golden hamster)
Lineage: Eukaryota; Metazoa; Chordata; Mammalia; Rodentia; Cricetidae
Source: Rfam
CCAAAGGCUCUUUUCAGAGCCAUCCAAGUCCUCAGAACAGAGCUGG